GAUCAUCAUGUUCAAACGAAUCAUCAUGUAUUAAAAGUUUCUUUUCUUUUCUUUUUUUUUUGUUUUUUUUUUUUGAAAAUUUAAGAUUGUUACAGGUGGCAACGGGUCAGGUGGCCCGGCUGGACCCGGACCCAUACCCAAAUAGCAUUCAGGUUUAUGUUUUGGACCUGGAUCGGACCGUCAGAUCCAAAAGUUGGACCCAUACCCAUAUUCAUUGGGUCUCAGGUCUAUCCCGUUGGGUUCUAGGUCUGGUUGGUCUAUUACCACCCUCAAAUAUGAGCUUUUUCUUUUUACCAUCAUAUACUCAUAAUAUUAUUAACAAGGUGAGUUUUUAUUUCAUACGAUCCGUAAUAUAUGUAAACAAAUAGGACUUCAAGUAUGUUAUCUCCAACAUUUUACUGGUGUGAGUCGGGUCCAACCAGAUCUGAACCCAACACACACAUAGUAUUCGGGUCCAAGUUUUAGACCUGGACCCACCCCACUGGGUCCAAAUGUUGGAUCCAUACCCGGACCCAUGUCGGGUAUUACCCGGUGGGUCCUAAGCUGGGUCCGGAUCUAUUGCCACCUCUACAAAUGAUAGAGAAAUCUAAGGUAGUAGAGUAGGUUAGUAAUAAAAGUUAUAAAACACAUAAAUUAAAGGGGAAAGGUUUCUAUGCUUCCCCUACAACAUAGAAGUUCUAUCCGCCUUUUACCAUCCAGCCGUCCAAUUUUGAUUAAGAGAGCUACUUACUGUUUGAUCUUAGAUCCGACGUCUCAAAAUAUUUUUUUUUUAGUUUUUUUUAUACAAAUUUUAUGAAUAUGAAAUUUGGUAUGUACUAUCUUCUCAUUGGGACGCACCUAUAAAAAAUAUUAAAAAUAAUGUUUCGAUAAAAUAUAACGGUCAAAAUAC
This 889-nucleotide long non-coding RNA is filed under the name Amborella trichopoda. Its description in RNAcentral is "long non-coding RNA (ATRI_LNC005365)". The record is from RNAcentral. Lineage: Eukaryota; Viridiplantae; Streptophyta; Magnoliopsida; Amborellales; Amborellaceae.